GGGGUUUUUAGCAACAUUGGGGCCGGUUGCAGAAACAACCCCUCUCCUGCCUUCCAGACACUGAGGAAAGUAUUCUUGUUCUCUUCAUAUACCAAGGGAAUGGUGGGAAAAGUCUUUGCUAGAGAGCAUGUGGCUGUGUGUUGUCACUUGAUAUUCAGCACAGGCAGCUAGGAUUUAAACCCUCCCUGAUCUUGAGACAGAGAACUUUACCCAAAAGAUGGGACUGAGUUCAGAUUUCAAAUACAUUAAUCACUCAUCAUUACUUAGAUUGAUGAAAGUAUCUUUUCCCUCUGUUAAUAAUUAAAAGGGAAAAAAUUCUUUGUUAAUGCUGUAUUUUUCUGUCCAAACAGGUUGAAACAGUUCCUCAGGCUACAGUGAAGACUGGAUUACAGAAAGGGUCGGCGGACCGGGGAGUGCAGGGCUCUGUCAGAUUCAGUGACAGCUCCGUCUCCGCAGCGAUUGAGGAAACUGUGGACUGAGAUUCCUGUACAAUUUCAUCCCAGAAACUCCAGACUUGUAGUCUCCAUGCAAGAUUUCUUUGUCGGCGGCUCGAUAAACAGUUUCUUUGUUUUCGAUUUUGAUUUCGCCAAUCAUCAUUAUUGGCAUUUUCCUGCCUGGUUUCUUCUUCAAGACUCUGAACAAUUGCUUUAACAGUCAAAUGAUUUUUUUUUUUUCGGUUUGAGCUGGAUGGGUACAGCUUAAAUCAUGGGUCCAGCCUAAAAACCACCAUUUAACUUACACUGAUCAAUUUCAACAUGGACUGUUUUUGGUUUUUUGUUUUUAAAUAAAGCAUCAUUAAUGCACAUCUGCAGGGUUUUGCCAAACAGCCCAAACUGUAUACAUUACAAUCAUUAAAAGUUCUUAUUUUUUUUAAUAUUAGUGCCGUUAUCAUGGAGAACAGCAUGACAGCUGUCUUUGGCAGUCUGUCAUUUUUCUAGCAUUUUCAGAAACUCAUCGGAAAUGGCGGUACCUGUGUUUCCCUUCGAAAGCCUCUCAGUACAGCACUCCUGUUCCUCUGUUAAAACUCCUUGUUAAUCCAGUGAUCUUUUAGGCCAAGGAAAUAUUUUGUGAUGGUGUUCUGGGUCCAUACACCAGCAAUGAAGGAGAUAGAUUUGUGUACUUGUGUUUUUUAAUCAGCAUUAACAUGGGCAGGCACCCUCAUUUAUAGAUGUCAGGAAACAUUCAGUGAAAAACUUGUAGAAUGGGAUGUGAUAACGAGGUUCCAGUAAUCUGAGCAGUCUAACGAGGCCCACCUCCUCCACCACAGAACGUGGCUAUGUUCCAAGUGCUACUCUCACUCAGCCUGUUGCGGAUCUUCAUGGCCUCAGGAGACUUGUUUCUCCAUGGGCUCUUCUGGACUGCACACUUCCACCAUAGCUUGCUGGGCUGAUCUAGAUGUCUGUUUGUUGUAUGGAAAUUUUGGGGGAAAAAAAUCCAAAACACAAACUGUGGGUUGAAAUAUUAACCGUCUCCUUGGUUCCUUGGUAUUCACCGUGCCUGAUCUGCACAUUUCAUCGUGGCUGUUUCUGUAUAGCCUAUACUGCAUUAGCCCAAGAGAUUGUUGCUUUGUAACUUUUUGCAC
Molecule: small RNA, 1582 nt
Filed under: Pongo abelii (Sumatran orangutan)
Lineage: Eukaryota; Metazoa; Chordata; Mammalia; Primates; Hominidae
Description: processed transcript
Source: RNAcentral